This 255-nucleotide long non-coding RNA is filed under the name Ananas comosus (pineapple). RNAcentral's name for it is "long non-coding RNA (ACOM_LNC011289)". Lineage: Eukaryota; Viridiplantae; Streptophyta; Magnoliopsida; Poales; Bromeliaceae. The record is from RNAcentral.
GUAAACAUUACUUUUUUGUAUUUAUAAAUUUUUUUCUUGAAAGAUAGGUAGUACGCUAUUCGCUUCGUUUAUUUCAUUUAGAAAUAAAUUUAGCUGAAAAUGUAAAUUAAUUAGGAUUCAAACUUGGGGCCUUGGGUAUCAACCACCGAGUCUUUUGCCACUUGCUCUAGGGACAGUCGAUUUGUAUUUAUAAAUUUGUUGAUAUGAAAAGUAAAAUUUUGAAUUCCUAGUUAGAUGUUCUAAGUGAAAAAAUUU